Molecule: microRNA precursor, 58 nt
Organism: Oreochromis aureus
Lineage: Eukaryota; Metazoa; Chordata; Actinopteri; Cichliformes; Cichlidae
Source: Ensembl
UGCUCUGACACAUGACAACAGCCUGAUUUUAAUCUGGGCUGUUGUUGGUCAGAGAAAC